Molecule: long non-coding RNA, 746 nt
Filed under: Anser cygnoides (Swan goose)
Lineage: Eukaryota; Metazoa; Chordata; Aves; Anseriformes; Anatidae
Description: lncRNA (ENSACDG00005008164.1)
Source: RNAcentral
UCAUUCAUGCUGAAAAGCCUCUCUCACUUAGCCAUGAGCGGAGCUGUCAAAGCCGCUGAAAGUGAAGCACAAUUCACCGUAAACAAGGGGGCCUCGGAAACCAUAAACAGCAAAUUAGAGCUAAAUAUUGAUGUACUCCACAUUAACUCCAACCCCAGCUCCUAGCAAAUCCAGCCUCCGAACCCUCCGUACACAGGGGUUUAAUGCUUAUGUGCCUUUUUUUUCGGAAACACGAGACUGAAAGCGGGCGCAUUCUUAGAAUACAGAUUUUAUUUUUGUUUUAUUUUCUGGAUCACAUCGCAUUUCCUGUUUUCCUUGCGUUUUUCCUGGCUCGGGCCCGGCUGCGCUGCGCGUUGCCAUAGCAGCGCCGGGCCCUUUUGAGGAAGCCUGCCCCUUUAAGGAAGGCUCUGGAGGCCCGCGGGAGGCCGGAAGUGCUCCCCCGAGGCGCUCUGGUUUUCCCUUCGUCUCGGAUCUGCGCUGGGGGUCGCCUCCGGAGGAGCCACAGCCCUGCAGGCCUGAGUUGUGAGCAAAGGUCGCCGAGUCUGCGUGGGACGUCCGUGUCCCUCAGUAACAGGUGUGAGCAUCCAUGCAGCGUUUGGUGGUCAUGUAUGAUACUGCACACAGUGCGAGCCUGCCUUCGCCAGGGGGAGAGUCCCUGGAUGGCCUCUGGAUUCGUUUCUUUAACCUGUGCUGUAUUGGUUUAAAAAUCGAAUUGUAGAAAUAAAUGACGUUGCCCUUCCUUUACA